CGUUCUGGUAUGGAUAACCGACCGGCAUGCUGCGUAUGUUGAGGAGUCCCUGUUGACCCCUACCGGAGGCCCUUGUCAAUACCCUUGGUUCGCAUCAGCAAGACCGAAGAACGUUGGAGAACGUUAUUAUUUGACUUAGGGCCAAUGCAGGGGCUUGGCUUCGACGCCUAAAGUUAAAUUUAGGGCAAAAGCUUCCAUAGGGCGAAAACACGAGAGACGUAUCUCAAAGCGAAUGGGAAUGGAUUUUGGACGGCACAUCCCUGCGCCAAAUGUGGCUUGAGAAUGGAAUAACUUAUUUAGCGCUCAAGACGAAGCCUAAUUGGAGUGGAGAGGUAGGUUAAAUGAUCCUCCUUGUGGGAUUUGAAAAGGUUUUCUUGAAUUAUUCGUUUCUUUUUUCUUUUUCUUUCUUCCUGUUCAUUAUUAGUGCUGUUUGGCGUCCAAAAUGUCAACUCCUCGCCAAGUCCUCGGCGAUGGCGUGUAUGAAGACCGGAGCUGCUCCGACUUGCUAGAUAGUGUCCUAGACCCCAGUCCGUCAAAACCAAUGAAGA
RNAcentral lists this small RNA (548 nucleotides) under Histoplasma capsulatum. RNAcentral describes it as "hypothetical RNA". Lineage: Eukaryota; Fungi; Ascomycota; Eurotiomycetes; Onygenales; Ajellomycetaceae. The record is from RNAcentral. RNAcentral also lists the same sequence under 1 other name.